CAGUAGCCACGGUAAUACGAAGGGGGCUAGCGUUGUUCGGAAUUACUGGGCGUAAAGCGCACGUAGGCGGAUUGUUAAGUUAGGGGUGAAAUCCCAGGGCUCAACCCUGGAACUGCCUUUAAUACUGGCAAUCUAGAGUCCGAGAGAGGUGAGUGGAAUUCCGAGUGUAGAGGUGAAAUUCGUAGAUAUUCGGAGGAACACCAGUGGCGAAGGCGGCUCACUGGCUCGGUACUGACGCUGAGGUGCGAAAGCGUGGGGAGCAAACAGGAUUAGAUACCCCCGUAGUCCCUGUCUCUUAUAC
This 301-nucleotide ribosomal RNA is filed under the name uncultured bacterium. RNAcentral describes it as "partial 16S ribosomal RNA". It matches the Rfam family "Bacterial small subunit ribosomal RNA", at positions 509 to 807 of the family's 1533-position model. The record is from RNAcentral.